This is a long non-coding RNA of Amphiprion ocellaris (clown anemonefish), 360 nucleotides long. NCBI's taxonomy places the organism in Eukaryota, Metazoa, Chordata, Actinopteri, Pomacentridae. The record is from Ensembl.
GAGGAACUACCGCUACAGUCAACCCAACAUGGCGGAUCAGGCGGAGGCCAUGAAAUCUUCUGCCCAGAGUCACCAGAGAAGAAAGAGGCUGCUGGAUGCCAGGGAGACAGUCCUUGCUCCAGAUGAAGAGGACUUCUGGAAGGGCAUCACAACUGACAUGAUGUCAGAUGAAGAGGACGGCAGCGUUGACGGGGUGUGUGGAUGGAUAGUGUGGCUUCCAUCCUUCCACAGCCAGGAGCUAGCCAACCUGCCGCACUACAGACUGGAGGCUGAUGUGAGGAGUGGACAGCCGUCUGAUAGAGUGAAGCCACAUAAUCUGCUGCUGGAAAGAAGAAAUCCAACAGAGCGUGCUCAGAAACC